RNAcentral lists this ribosomal RNA (1320 nucleotides) under Callimenellus fumidus. Its description in RNAcentral is "16S ribosomal RNA". The stretch from base 863 to 1220 matches the Rfam family "Bacterial large subunit ribosomal RNA", at positions 2077 to 2643 of the family's 2925-position model. Lineage: Eukaryota; Metazoa; Arthropoda; Insecta; Orthoptera; Tettigoniidae. The record is from RNAcentral.
UUAAUUAUUAAUUUUGUUAUUUAAUAAAAUAAUUUUGAUUUAACAGAGUAAUGAGUAAUGAAAUUGGUUGUUGAUUUAUAGUGAAUUAGUACUGUGAGGGGAUUGUGAAAUAUAAUUGAAAUAAUAUAUUUGGUGAAAAGUAGACUGAAGGUUGUACCUUGUGUCUCAGGGUCUAUUAAAAUUAUUUUAAGGAGAUUGAUGAUCCCGAAGUGAAAAGGGCAAUAAUUAUAGUUUAGUUAAUGUGGCAUAAUUAUUAAUAAUGUAGUUUUUGUAAUGAAAUAUUAGUCGUUUUUUGCGAUAUCUGGUUUUCUAAGAAAUAAAUUGAAUUUGGGAUAGUUAGUAUGUAAAAUUUUGUAUUUAAUAUAUUUUAUAUAACGUGUGGUAAAUUCUUCGGGAUAAACUGAGGAGUUGAUUAAUUAUAAUUAAAUGGGGUAUUAAAGUGUAAUAGGCUUUAAAUUAGCUAUUUAUAUAAUAUUGUUAUAAAUUAGGUUGUAUUAUAAUAUAAUUUUAAAUUUGAAUUUAAUUAAUUUAUUGGAAUAGAAUAAUUAAUGUUGGAAUUAUUUGGAAUAAUGAUGGAAUGAGUAUAAAUUUUAAUGUAAAAUGUAAUUUAUCUUUAAAUUGGAUUUGAGGAAUUAGGCAAAUAUUUAUUCACAUGUUUAUCAAAAACAUCUCUUUUUGAGUUUAUAAAAAGUAGGGCCUGCCCACUGAGAUUUGAAGGGCCGCGGUAUUUUGACCGUGCAAAGGUAGCAAAAUCAUUAGUCUUUUAAUAGGAGGCUGGAAUGAAUGGUUUGAUGAGAUAAAGACUGUCUUAAAUUUAAAAUUAUAAAUUGACUUUUUAGUAAGAAGGCUAAAAUAUUUAUAGAGGACGAGAAGACCCUAUAGAGUUUUAUUUAAUGAGAGUUUGAUUUGAGAUGGGUGUUUAAUCAAAUUGAGCUUGAAUUGAAUUUGAUUGGGGUGAUUUGAAGAAUUAAUAAACUCUUUAUGUAAUUUAACAUUGAUUUGUGGUUAAUUGAUCCAGUAUUAUUGGUUAUAAGAUUAAAUUACCUUAGGGAUAACAGCGUAAUUUUUUUUGAGAGUUCUUAUCGACAAGAAAGAUUGCGACCUCGAUGUUGGAUUAAGAAAAUUUUUAGGUGGAGCAAUUUAAAAAAUAAGUCUGUUCGACUUUUGAAUUCUUACAUGAUCUGAGUUCAGACCGGCGUGAGCCAGGUCGGUUUCUAUCCUUAUAGAAUUAGAAGAUCUUAGUACGAGAGGACCAGAUUUUUGGAAUAAUUUUGGUGAUUGAUUGAUAUUAAACAACUAAUUUGGCAGAUAAAGUGCUUU